AGAGUUUGAUCCUGGCUCAGAACGAACGCUGGCGGUGUGCAUAACACAUGCAAGUCGCACGAGAAAGGGGCUUCGGCCCUGAGUACAGUGGCGAACGGGUGAGUAAUACGUGGGUAACCUACCCUUGAGAGAGGGAUAACCCGCCGAAAGGUGGGCUAAUACCUCAUACGCUUCUCUUUCUUCGGGAAGAGAGGGAAAGUUGCAUCAAAUGGUGUGGCGCUCGAGGAUGGGCUCACGUCCUAUCAGCUUGUUGGUAGGGUAAUGGCCUACCAAGGCGGCGACGGGUAGCUGGUCUGAGAGGAUGGUCAGCCACACUGGCACUGAGACACGGGCCAGACUCCUACGGGAGGCAGC
RNAcentral lists this ribosomal RNA (354 nucleotides) under uncultured bacterium. Its description in RNAcentral is "bacterial SSU rRNA". It matches the Rfam family "Bacterial small subunit ribosomal RNA", at positions 8 to 352 of the family's 1533-position model. The record is from RNAcentral.